Molecule: ribosomal RNA, 234 nt
Filed under: uncultured bacterium
Lineage: Bacteria
Description: partial 16S ribosomal RNA
Rfam family: Bacterial small subunit ribosomal RNA
Source: RNAcentral
CCUUCGGGAUUAGUGGCGGACGGGUGAGUAACACGUGGGAACGUGCCCUUUGGUUCGGAACAACUCAGGGAAACUUGAGCUAAUACCGGAUGUGCCCUUCGGGGGAAAGAUUUAUCGCCAUUGGAGCGGCCCGCGUCUGAUUAGCUAGUUGGUAGGGUAAAGGCCUACCAAGGCUACGAUCAGUAGCUGGUCUGAGAGGAUGAUCAGCCACACUGGGACUGAGACACGGCCCAG